RNAcentral lists this ribosomal RNA (425 nucleotides) under uncultured bacterium. RNAcentral's name for it is "partial 16S ribosomal RNA". It matches the Rfam family "Bacterial small subunit ribosomal RNA", at positions 354 to 796 of the family's 1533-position model. The record is from RNAcentral.
GUUAGGAAUAUUGGACAAUGGGCGCAAGCCUGAUCCAGCCAUGCCGCGUGAGUGAUGAAGGCCUUCGGGUUGUAAAGCUCUUUAGUCCACGAAUAUAAUGACUGUAGUGGAAGAAUAAGCCCCGGCUAACUUCGUGCCAGCAGCCGCGGUAAUACGAAGGGGGCGAGCGUUAUUCGGAAUCACUGGGCGUAAAGCGUGCGUAGGCUGUUUUGUAAAUCAGAAGUGAAAGCCCAGGGCUUAACCCUGGAAUUGCUUUUGAAACUACAAGACUCGAAUUCGGGAGAGGAUAGCGGAAUUGUCAGUGUAGCAGUGAAAUGCGUAGAUAUUGACAGGAACACCAGUGGCGCAAGCGGCUAUCUGGACCGAUAUUGACGCUGAGGCACGAAAGCGUGGGGAGCAAACAGGAUUAGAAACCCCUGUAGUCC